This 254-nucleotide ribosomal RNA is filed under the name uncultured bacterium. Its description in RNAcentral is "partial 16S ribosomal RNA". It matches the Rfam family "Bacterial small subunit ribosomal RNA", at positions 524 to 776 of the family's 1533-position model. The record is from RNAcentral.
UACGUAGGGUGCGAGCGUUGUCCGGAUUUAUUGGGCGUAAAGAGCUCGUAGGCGGCUCGGUAAGUCGGGUGUGAAAUUUCGAGGCUCAACCUCGAAACGCCACCCGAUACUGCUGUGGCUAGAGUCCGGUAGGGGAGCGUGGAAUUCCUGGUGUAGCGGUGAAAUGCGCAGAUAUCAGGAGGAACACCAGCGGCGAAGGCGGCGCUCUGGGCCGGUACUGACGCUGAGGUGCGAAAGCGUGGGGAGCAAACAGG